UUUAAGUGUAACCAUGAGUUUACAUGUCCAACUUUGAUCGUCCGUCUUAUUUGAAAUUUUUUAUAAUUAGUAUUUGUGUUGUUAUGAGAUGAUAAAACAUGAAUAGUAUUACUUGUGACUUAUGUUUUUAUAUUUUUUUAAAAAAAAUUUAAAUAAGACAGAUGAUUAAAGUUAGGCGCGUAAAAUCAUGGCUGUAAUAAGA
Molecule: microRNA precursor, 202 nt
Organism: Oryza sativa Japonica Group (Japanese rice)
Lineage: Eukaryota; Viridiplantae; Streptophyta; Magnoliopsida; Poales; Poaceae
Rfam family: MIR812 microRNA precursor family
Source: Rfam